Molecule: ribosomal RNA, 441 nt
Filed under: uncultured bacterium
Lineage: Bacteria
Description: partial 16S ribosomal RNA
Rfam family: Bacterial small subunit ribosomal RNA
Source: RNAcentral
CCUACGGGGUGCAGCAGUGGGGAAUAUUGCACAAUGGGGGAAAGCCUGAUGCAGCGACGCCGCGUGAGCGAGGAAGUCUUUCGGUAUGUAAAGCUCUAUCAGCAGGGACGAAAAAAGACGGUACCCGACUAAGCAGCCCCGGCCAACUACGUGCCAGCAGCCGCGGUAAUACGUAGGGGGCAAGCGUUAUUCGGAUUUACUGGGUGUAAAGGGAGCGUAGACGGGAAGGCAAGCCAGAUGUGAAAGUCCAAGGCUCAACCCUGUACAUGCAUUUGGAACUGGGGUGCUUGAGUGCAGGAGAGGUAGGUGGAAUUCCUGGUGUAGCGGUGAAAUGCGUAGAUAUUAGGAGGAACACCAGUGGCGAAGGCGGGUUACUGGACUGUAACUGACGUUGAGGCUCGAAAGCGUGGGGAGCAAACAGGAUUAGAUACCCGUGUAGUC